Molecule: long non-coding RNA, 496 nt
Organism: Pipra filicauda (Wire-tailed manakin)
Lineage: Eukaryota; Metazoa; Chordata; Aves; Passeriformes; Pipridae
Exons: 2
Source: RefSeq, a predicted model, not a curated record
CUUGAGUGCCUUACUAAAUCAUGACCUGAAAAUGUCUUUGAAACCACAGGUCUCUUCUUGGAUAUUUUCAGAUGACAGAUGGUGUCAAGGUAGCCUUGAGCAACUGGAAGAGAAAGCCACCAACUCCAGUGCCAGACCUAACACAUAUGGAUCUGACCUGCACCAGCUACAUCAAGAUAUCCCAAUUCAUUAAGCUCUAUUUCCAGAACACACUUUUCUAUGAGGAGCUCUCCUGUUUCAAAGGGGUUAAGACUGAAGAAAGCUAAUCACACCACAGGAUGAAGAGAUUGUUGCACAGCUGCUCUCCUACGUUCACAUAGUACAAAGGGGAAACACAGAGUCUAAAGAAUGCACAUACUCACAUGUUCCAGACAGCAAUGAUUUGUGUCCUUCUGGAUACCUGCUUAAUGAAGUUUGGUCUCUGGAAAAUAUAUCUAGGACAGAGCAGGGUGCUGUUUUCCCUGCUGCAGUAUGAAUUAUAGUGACUGUUUCUGAA